UGCUCAUCUCCUCUCCCCAUCUAAUUGCCUCUGCUGGCUUGCCAGUUGCUGAUCUGUUGCUUUAGCAGGUGAUACUGAAAACCAGAUGCACCUGAAUCCCCAGGUCAUAUGCAUUCUCACUAACAUAAUGUUUCUCUAUCAUAAAACAUUUUCAGGCAGAAAGUGACACCUUGCAAGAUAGAUUUCAUGAAAUCAUCAAAGCUAGAUACUCAAGAUGUCAUUCAAAGAAGAGGACGUUGCACGUGGAGAUUUGACUGAAAUACUUUGCACU
RNAcentral lists this long non-coding RNA (271 nucleotides) under Meleagris gallopavo (turkey). RNAcentral describes it as "lncRNA (ENSMGAG00000017511.1)". Lineage: Eukaryota; Metazoa; Chordata; Aves; Galliformes; Phasianidae. The record is from RNAcentral.